UUCACCUUUCUUAUGGCAAGAUAAGCUAGUCAUUGUUUCGCCCUAUAUCCAUAACAAACAAAAAAAUCACAAAAGAAAACAUUUCUUCAGAAAAAAACUUUAAAACUUUCCAUUUAACUUAGAGAAAACUGGCAAAAUAUUUGCUUUAGUAUUUUCAUAAUUUGAGUUUAAAAUUUAUAUGUGCAACCGCUGCCUUGAUCUAGCUUCCUCCU
This 212-nucleotide long non-coding RNA is filed under the name Brassica napus (rape). RNAcentral describes it as "long non-coding RNA (BNAP_LNC010244)". The record is from RNAcentral. Lineage: Eukaryota; Viridiplantae; Streptophyta; Magnoliopsida; Brassicales; Brassicaceae.